Ctenopharyngodon idella (grass carp) is the source of this 846-nucleotide non-coding RNA. The record is from the annotation of a RefSeq genome assembly. Lineage: Eukaryota; Metazoa; Chordata; Actinopteri; Cypriniformes; Xenocyprididae.
UUUGUCAUCAAACUUACAGAGGAUGAAAGAGGAGGAGUUUAACAUCUCAGAUGAUCUUGUUACAUUUGACUGUCACAAAGCUCAGUCCUGCUGCAGUGAACACACACAUGUACAAUGAUACUUCAUUCAGUCAUUCUGCUCUCUGCCUUGACAUGUGUGAGUUUUGGAGAUGAAAUCACACCAGACAGCACUGAAGAGUCUGCUGCAGAGGGUUCAACUGUUACAUUAUCCUGCAGUUAUUCAUCUGCAGAUUCACUUCUCUGGUACCGUCAGUAUCCUGGAUCAGCUCCUCAAUUUCUUGUGCUUAAAAUAGAGAGUGUGAAAGAGACCAAGAUAAAGACAUCGGAGGUAGAUCCCAGAUUCUCUACUAAGACCAGAAAAGAAAAACAAGCCCAAAAAGAGAUCAAACAUGUGGAUCUGAUCAUCUCCUCUGCUGUAGUAUCAGACUCUGCUCUGUAUUACUGUGCUCUGAGGCCCACAGUCACAGGAAACACUGUAACUCUGUACAAAAACCUGACACAGCUGAAAAGGCAUAGCUAUAAUUAUGCCUUCUACUAAACAGACUGAAGCACAUAACAAUCGAAAGAAUCACAUUCCCAAACUGCCAAUUCAGACACAGAACAAAAGUCUGAUGGAACACAUUCAAAGACCCAUGUUUAUAAUUACAAUAACUUUGUACAAACCCAAAAUUAAAGUCAUUAUAUGUGAUGUAACUGCUACCAGCAUUUACAUAAAGAAAAUAAAAUGUGCAAUGAGGAAUGAAAACCAGUAUGCAGACUUUAUUUUCUGUGGAGGAAACUACUAAAAUUAAACUUGGUUUUCAUUUUGUAAUGCUUUUAGGUAACC